CUCAGUAGCAUUGGAAACACAAUAGCACAGAAACAGACAAGUACCUUGCCCUCUUGGAGAAAAACAAUGCAAAUUCCCCAAAGCAUAAGUGUGCUGAAGACAAUGAGAAGGAUGGGGCUUAAAGGAUCAAGAAAGAGAAACAGUAUUAAAGAGGCAGAAGGUAUCCAAGCUCCCCUCCAGAUACAUAAAGUAGCAACAUGGAGUGCCCAAUCCUGGACACAAAAGCCCAGUAUGAACAGGUCCCCACAAGAGAUGACCCACCAUGUAGGAAACAGCUUCAUGAGUAGCCUUAGCCUUGUCUUCUAUACUACCCUCUUCCAGAUGACCUUCUGACACCAAUUUGUCUCCCUCAGUCCCAUAACCCUACUCAGACACCCUAAUAGGAGGUACCUGUCACAGGGGAACAUCCAGAAAGAAGUAGGUUAGAGCCUAGCAACAGGAAAUUCUUAUCAGCCAGUCUCCAUUAGGGGCUAAACCUAUUAAGAUUGACCAAAGUGAAUCAGCCAGUAAACUCUUGUGUAACACACCCUUGGCUUCAGCCAGGCACCUACGUGUUGCUAGUGAAUCCCAGGAACCGUGAAAACAGUCUUCAGGCUGUCUCUCCAGCCAGUGUAGUUGUAAUGAGGGGAGAAUCAGCUGCUAUGUGGUCAGAUAUAAAUCUCCAUCCCACUGCACAGGCUUGGGCAAGUCCCUUCAUUGACCUAUUUUCUCAUAUGCUCAACAGUGGGAGACAAGGACAUCAGCUUUGCCUUCUCCAGACAGAUGAGGUGAGAUUGGGAAGGGCUAAUAGGCUUGCAGGGGCCCUGGAGAGACCAGCACAUCAUAAAGUCACCCACAUCCACAUUCUCUGGUAGAACCUGCCUCAAACUAGUUACCAACUCCUGGACGCAGGCAGGCAGGCAGGCAGGCAGGCAGGCAGGCAGGCAGGCAGGCAGGCAGGCAAGCUAGCUGGCCAGGUUACCUACUCCAAGAAUUGAGUAGUUUCAUCUUUCAAGCUUUCCUUCAUAGCUCUUGCUUUAAGUUUUGUAUUGUUUCUUAUGGAAGCACAUCACCACCAUCUUUGGAGAGACUCUGGCUAGUGAAGACCCAGAUUCUACUCUUGUGUUCAGCUUUUGGGCAGCAUUUCAAAGCCCAACUUUCACCAAUCUCUUUUGGGGGGGGGGGCUGAAUCGAAAAUAGGAGUUAAGUAGACCCUAAGGGCCUGGCCAAUUCUGAGCCAAAUCUUCUGACACAGUUCUGGCACCAGCUAGGCUGUCUGUGGUCAGCAGUGAGUCUCAGACAUUGUGAAGGUGAGGUGGGUGGUGUUUAGCUUCUUGGAGUGAACACUGAGCUGCUCUCCUUACAUCGUCAUUUGCCUUCUAAGAGCAAUCUCUCUCUCUCUCUCUCUCUCUCUCUCUCUCUCUCUCUCUCUCUCUCUCUCUGUCAGCUCCUGGCCACAGGCGUUGUCAUUGAGUUGUUCUCCUCCAGGAUACUCAUCUAAGAGCUAAGUCUAUGGUGUUAGCUGUGAGGAAACAGUUACCAAUGUAAUUCACCUCAGAGUCAAAGCGUAGGACACUCCCCUCCACACAAACGCACACCUCUUCAGGGCGAUUCUUUAAAAAAGAAAAAUCAAUGAAUCUUUUCUUCUCAUAGAAAAUUGGCACCAAGUUUUCUCUCCCCGCCCCGCCCCAAAGCCAGCAUAUAAUAUGAACGGAGAGCUGAUGUGAGGCAUGCAGCUGCUAAAAGCUGUCAGCACAGGGCUUUCUGACUACUCAGGAGCUUUCCUCAGCCUUCUGGUAACUGGCAUGUCCUGGUCAUGUUUGCUGCUGCUGCUGCCGCUGCUUCUGUUUUAAUGUGUUUGCUUUCCAUUUGGCAGAGAGACAAGCGAGACACCUCCAACUUCGACAAAGAGUUCACCAGGCAGCCUGUGGAACUGACUCCCACUGACAAACUCUUCAUCAUGAACUUGGACCAAAAUGAAUUUGCUGGCUUCUCGUAUACUAACCCAGAGUUUGUCAUUAAUGUGUAGGUGAAUGCAGAUUCCAUCGCUGAGCCUGUGUGUAAGGCUGCAGGCUGAAUGUCUAUUAUCAAUUCCAGUCUUCCAGGAUUCAUGGUGCCUCUGUUGGCAUCCGUCAUGUGGAGAGCUUGUCUUAGAGGGCUUUUCUUUGUAUGUAUAGCUUGCUAGUUUGUUUUCUACAUUUCAAAAUGUUUAGUUUAGAAUAAGUGCAUUGCCCACUGAUAGAGGUACAAUUUUCCAGACUUCCAGAAACUCAUCCAAUGAACCAACAGUGUCAAAACUUAACUGUGUCCGAUACCAAAAUGCUUCAGUAUUUGUAAUUUUUAAAGUCAGAUGCUGAUGUUCCUGGUCAAAGUUUUUAC
This 2358-nucleotide long non-coding RNA is filed under the name Rattus norvegicus (Norway rat). RNAcentral describes it as "long non-coding RNA NONRATT001170". The record is from RNAcentral. Lineage: Eukaryota; Metazoa; Chordata; Mammalia; Rodentia; Muridae.